GCACUGGUGUAGCUCAGUGGUUACUUCUCUCCUGCAGAGAUCGCCAACCUCUAUCCCUUUGUGGGACUGAACCCCGGGCACUGUCCACUGCUUUU
Molecule: vault RNA, 95 nt
Filed under: Neogobius melanostomus (round goby)
Lineage: Eukaryota; Metazoa; Chordata; Actinopteri; Gobiiformes; Gobiidae
Description: Vault RNA (ENSNMLG00000000893.1)
Rfam family: Vault RNA
About the family: This family of RNAs are found as part of the enigmatic vault ribonucleoprotein complex.
Source: Rfam by way of RNAcentral